This 380-nucleotide ribosomal RNA is filed under the name uncultured eukaryote. Its description in RNAcentral is "partial 18S ribosomal RNA". It matches the Rfam family "Eukaryotic small subunit ribosomal RNA", at positions 592 to 976 of the family's 1831-position model. The record is from RNAcentral.
CAAUAGCGUAUAUUAAAGUUGUUGCGGUUAAAAAGCUCGUAGUUGGAUUUCUGCUGAGAACGACCGGUCCGCCCUUUGGGUGUGUAUCUGGCUCUUUCUUGGCAUCUUCUUGGUGAACGUUGCUGCACUUGACUGUGUGGAGCGCUACCCAGGACUUUUACUUUGAGGAAAUUAGAGUGUUUCAAGCAGGCAUACGCCUUGAAUACAUUAGCAUGGAAUAAUAAGAUAGGACCUCGGUUCUAUUUUGUUGGUUUCUAGAGCUGAGGUAAUGAUUAAUAGGGAUAGUUGGGGGCAUUCGUAUUUAACUGUCAGAGGUGAAAUUCUUGGAUUUGUUAAAGACGGACUACUGUGAAANCANNNGCCAAGGAUGUUUUCAUNGA